This 65-nucleotide transfer RNA is filed under the name Austinograea rodriguezensis. RNAcentral describes it as "tRNA-Glu". Lineage: Eukaryota; Metazoa; Arthropoda; Malacostraca; Decapoda; Bythograeidae. RNAcentral also lists the same sequence under 1 other name. The record is from RNAcentral.
GUUUUUAUAGUGUAAAAAACACAUUACAUUUUCAUUGUAAAACUGAAACACGGUUUCUAAAAACU